UGCAAGUCGAGCGAAUGGAUUAAGAGCUUGCUCUUAUGAAGUUAGCGGCGGACGGGUGAGUAACACGUGGGUAACCUGCCCAUAAGACUGGGAUAACUCCGGGAAACCGGGGCUAAUACCGGAUAACAUUUUGAACCGCAUGGUUCGAAAUUGAAAGGCGGCUUCGGCUGUCACUUAUGGAUGGACCCGCGUCGCAUUAGCUAGUUGGUGAGGUAACGGCUCACCAAGGCAACGAUGCGUAGCCGACCUGAGAGGGUGAUCGGCCACACUGGGACUGAGACACGGCCCAGACUCCUACGGGAGGCAGCAGUAGGGAAUCUUCCGCAAUGGACGAAAGUCUGACGGAGCAACGCCGCGUGAGUGAUGAAGGCUUUCGGGUCGUAAAACUCUGUUGUUAGGGAAGAACAAGUGCUAGUUGAAUAAGCUGGCACCUUGACGGUACCUAACCAGAAAGCCACGGCUAACUACGUGCCAGCAGCCGCGGUAAUACGUAGGUGGCAAGCGUUAUCCGGAAUUAUUGGGCGUAAAGCGCGCGCAGGUGGUUUCUUAAGUCUGAUGUGAAAGCCCACGGCUCAACCGUG
RNAcentral lists this ribosomal RNA (581 nucleotides) under Bacillus cereus. Its description in RNAcentral is "bacterial SSU rRNA". It matches the Rfam family "Bacterial small subunit ribosomal RNA", at positions 56 to 617 of the family's 1533-position model. Lineage: Bacteria; Bacillati; Bacillota; Bacilli; Caryophanales; Bacillaceae. The record is from RNAcentral.